RNAcentral lists this ribosomal RNA (198 nucleotides) under uncultured bacterium. RNAcentral's name for it is "partial 16S ribosomal RNA". It matches the Rfam family "Bacterial small subunit ribosomal RNA", at positions 334 to 524 of the family's 1533-position model. The record is from RNAcentral.
UACUCCUACGGGAGGCAGCAGUGGGGAAUAUUGCACAAUGGGCGCAAGCCUGAUGCAGCCAUGCCGCGUGUGUGAAGAAGGCCUUCGGGUUGUAAAGCACUUUCAGCGGGGAGGAAGGCGGUGAGGUUAAUAACCUCAUCGAUUGACGUUACCCGCAGAAGAAGCACCGGCUAACUCCGUGCCAGCAGCCGCGGUAAU